RNAcentral lists this ribosomal RNA (462 nucleotides) under uncultured bacterium. Its description in RNAcentral is "partial 16S ribosomal RNA". It matches the Rfam family "Bacterial small subunit ribosomal RNA", at positions 28 to 507 of the family's 1533-position model. The record is from RNAcentral.
GACGAACGCUGGCGGCGUGCUUAACACAUGCAAGUCGAGCGGUAAGGCCUUUCGGGGUACACGAGCGGCGAACGGGUGAGUAACACGUGGGUGAUCUGCCCUGCACUUCGGGAUAAGCCUGGGAAACUGGGUCUAAUACCGGAUAUGACCUCCUAUCGCAUGGUGGGUGGUGGAAAGAUUUAUCGGUGCAGGAUGGGCCCGCGGCCUAUCAGCUUGUUGGUGGGGUAAUGGCCUACCAAGGCGACGACGGGUAGCCGACCUGAGAGGGUGACCGGCCACAGUGGGACGGAAACACGGCCAGGACCCCGACGGGGGGCGGCGGGGGGGAAUAUGGCAGAGGGGGCGAAGGCCGGAUCGAGCGACGCCGGGGGGGGGUGGCCGGCCUUCGGGUUGAAAACCUCUUUCAGCGGGGACGAGGCGAAAGGGAGGUUCCCUGCAAAAGAAGCCCGGGCUAACUACGCG